GAAAACUGAACUCCGUGAACGGUCAACUCACUUUGACCACCUAAAACUUGCAAUAUAUGGUUCUAAUGAACCUGUUUUCUUUUUCAGAUUAAAGACCUACUAUCAGGCUACAAAUAUCAUACAAAUAACAGACCUAAACAUAAACACAAAUGAAUCUACAAGCUCUGACAUUCGGCUGUCAGACUUGAUUUUCAAAAUUCCUAGAUUUCUAAAAACAAUUAAUCAAGG
Molecule: long non-coding RNA, 228 nt
Filed under: Panax ginseng (ginseng)
Lineage: Eukaryota; Viridiplantae; Streptophyta; Magnoliopsida; Apiales; Araliaceae
Description: long non-coding RNA (PGIN_LNC012218)
Source: RNAcentral